AGUGAACGCUGGCGGUAGGCCUAACACAUGCAAGUCGAACGGCAGCACAGUAAGAGCUUGCUCUUACGGGAGGCGAGUGGCGGACGGGGGGGGAAUACAUCGGAACCUACUUUUUCGUGGGGGAUAACGUAGGGAAACUUACGCUAAUACCGCAUACGACCUACGGGUGAAAGCAGGGGAUCUUCGGACCUUGCGCGAUUGAAUGAGCCGAUGUCGGAUUAGCUAGUUGGCGGGGUAAAGGCCCACCAAGGCGACGAUCCGUAGCUGGUCUGAGAGGAUGAUCAGCCACACUGGAACUGAGACACGGUCCAGACUCCUACGGGAGGCAGCAGUGGGGAAUAUUGGACAAUAGGCGCAAGCCUGACCCAGCCAUACCGCGUGGGUGACGAAGGCCUUCGGGUUGUAAAGCCCUUUUGUUGGGAAAGAAAAGCAGCAGGUUAAUACCACGCUGUUCUGACGGUACCCAAAGAAUAAGCACCGGCUAACUUCGUG
Molecule: ribosomal RNA, 492 nt
Filed under: uncultured bacterium
Lineage: Bacteria
Description: partial 16S ribosomal RNA
Rfam family: Bacterial small subunit ribosomal RNA
Source: RNAcentral